AUGACUAUUAAUAUAUAUGAUGAUGAUUUUUUAAAUUAAGUAGGUAUUUGUUCCGUAUUAACUAUUGACUUUCACUGUAUGACAUAUCGAAGAUACCAAACAGCCGCAAUUUGGUCACCCUGGGUUUAGAAGUUGCUUUAGUUAUUAUUGUUAGCGUAAAACUAUCUGUUCUCAAUCUCACUACACGAAUCUUUAGCAUUUUCAUCAUGAAGUCAUCUAUGCUUUGUUUAAUGUGGAUUUCAGUUAUUGUUCAGACUUUAUCGUGAUGCCUUUACUAUAGCGUGUUUAAUGUUAAAUCGUGCUUCCAUAUAUCGAUGUUUCUGUGAUGCCAAUUGUCCUUUCGUAUCUUUAUAUAACCGUAGACCUGAUAAGAAUCGACCUUUCUGUAAUUCCAAUGGUCUUGAAUUUAUUUUUCGCAUCGCUCCAGCGAGUUGCUCGCCCAUUUCCGGACCCAUGUUCAUUGGAGCUUUUCCAUGUUAUUUAACCUCCUGAAGUUAUGGCCAACUGUUAUGUUCGAUAAUUGUAUUAUACAGUACAUAAUCGCAUAAUAAAAUUUUGUAAGCAGGAUGGAUUUUAUAGGCUUAAAAACGAUUUUAAACAAGUGAUUCAUUAACGCGAUUUCUAACUGGCCGAGUCGAAAAAUAUGGAAAAUUAUUUCUAAACAAUGCACAUGUGUGGACUUUAAUAUUCAAUUGUGAACCUAAACGCAAAUUUACUCUUUUAACUUCUAUUUAAUUGGAUGAAAUUAACUAUUGUGGCUAACAAUUGCCAUUUAUUCGGUCAGUGAAAGAGAAGGAGACGAUAAGCUUCCUUAUCUUCUUCCCUUGACCUACAUCGAAUCGCAAGUUCAACGAAAUAUAAACAUAAAACGAUGACCCAUAAACUUUUCCUUGUGAUUUGACAAUCAUUUCAUUUAAUGGAACGUAUACGGUCGUCCUUGUUCCGAAACAAUUCAUGCUUUCAAUGCAAAAAUCCGCCGGCGACAUAUUAAAAGUUAUCGAUGCUCUCUAUUCGGAUAACGCAAUAAUAAUAAUAAUGCAAUCGCGCGCGACAAAUCGCUAUUCGUGAUUUCUCGCACGCCAUACUAGCUGGAGUUAAAACAGUUACAAUUCAGCAUGCACACCUCCUUUAACUGUAGACAUAAUUAUAUGAAUUUCAUGGAUAAAUUCGAACUAAAUUUUCGCCUGG
This 1188-nucleotide long non-coding RNA is filed under the name Androctonus crassicauda. Lineage: Eukaryota; Metazoa; Arthropoda; Arachnida; Scorpiones; Buthidae. The record is from RNAcentral.